AAUUGGAGGGCAAGUCUGGUGCCAGCAGCCGCGGUAAUUCCAGCUCCAAUAGCGUAUAUUAAAGUUGUUGCAGUUAAAAAGCUCGUAGUUGAAUUUCGGGGUUAGUAGGCUGGUCGUGCCACAGGUAUGAACUGGUCUUACUGACUUCUCCUUUCUGAAGAACUGUAAUGCCAUUAAUUUGGUGUUGCAGGGAAACAGGACUGUUACUUUGAAAAAAUUAGAGUGUUUAAAGCAGGCUAACGCUUGAAUACAUUAGCAUGGAAUAAUGAAAUAGGACGUUCGAUCCUAUUUUGUUGGUUUCUAGGAUUGACGUAAUGAUUAAUAGGGAUAGUUGGGGGCAUUAGUAUUCAAUUGUCAGAGGUGAAAUUCUUGGAUUUAUUGAAGACUAACUACUGCGAAAGCAUUUGCCAAGGAUGUUUUCAUUAAUCAAGAACGAAAGUUAGGGGAUCGAAGACGAUCAGAUACCGUCGUAGUCUUAACCAUAAACUAUGCCGACUAGGGAUCGGAUGAUGUUAAUUUUUUAAUGACUCAUUCGGCGCCUUACGGGAAACCAAAGUGU
RNAcentral lists this ribosomal RNA (559 nucleotides) under uncultured Glomus. RNAcentral describes it as "SSU rRNA". It matches the Rfam family "Eukaryotic small subunit ribosomal RNA", at positions 546 to 1106 of the family's 1831-position model. The record is from RNAcentral. Lineage: Eukaryota; Fungi; Glomeromycota; Glomeromycetes; Glomerales; Glomeraceae.